RNAcentral lists this long non-coding RNA (779 nucleotides) under Stegodyphus dumicola. RNAcentral describes it as "uncharacterized LOC118184346, transcript variant X1". Lineage: Eukaryota; Metazoa; Arthropoda; Arachnida; Araneae; Eresidae. The record is from RNAcentral.
CACAAAGGUGCUCAAGCUCAUAACGGACGACGCUUUUGCCCAGGCUCUACUUCUCCCUUCCUAGUCGUCUCCAGCGCUCCGGGCUCAUCUCCCAUCCUCAAACCGCUCUCUAGUGAUCUUCAUCACCGCACUACAUUCUCUGCUUCGGCUUCCGACAGUAGACUAAUGCGGCGGCUCUAAUUCAUGUCUUGCCCUCUUUGAAUGCUUAGUUCUCAUUUCUUUUCGGGAGAUAGGAUCCAUCAGCUUUCUUAUUUUGAGUCUGAACAAGUUUAGAAGAUCAGUGGAGAGCUCUUUGAAGGGGUAAUCCCAAGUUAACCUAGGUACAUCACGCAAACAAACUUCUCCAUCUGUCCUCAAAGGAAGGUCCUGAAUUGUUAUGCAGUGUAAGAGAAACCUCGAUGUCUCUGAAGUGAUUGAUGGACUUUUGCUCACGGGAUCGUGAUACGGAUGAUUGCCUAACCUUUUCGAACGCAAUGGUCACCUUCAGGAAUUGACCAAAUGCAUAGCUCCCCCACAUGCUGAAGAGAGCACCUAAGGAAGAAGACUGACAACACUACAUUUUUGACUGAUAUUUGAGAAUACACCCUUCGAAAUAUUUUUAGAAUGACAAAUAACUCAAUAUGAGACAUGGCAUAACAUCAGUACUUUAGCAAGCAUGUAAAUUCGAAUAUUAGAUGCAAUUUAUUUCACAAUUGUACAGCUUUUCAUCAUUGAGUGCCUUCAUUUCUGAUGCCUCGAAAAUCUCAAAACGAUGAAAAAUAAAAUAUUUUUAAUUAACA